Molecule: non-coding RNA, 725 nt
Organism: Paramormyrops kingsleyae
Lineage: Eukaryota; Metazoa; Chordata; Actinopteri; Osteoglossiformes; Mormyridae
Source: the annotation of a RefSeq genome assembly
CUGGCUGAUUCUAACAGAGCAUCUGGAUUGUCAGACAGGUUCACAUAUUCCAGUUCUGGGAAUCCGAAAUACCUUCACAUCAACGGAGUGAAGGCAGAAGAUGAGGCAGUGUACUACUGUGCCUGUGUUGGCUGUAGCUCAGACACUGGCUUUGGUGGGGGCACGAUGCUGAAUGUCGGUCGCUCCCCGUCUCCCCCAUCGCUGAGCCUCAUGCCGCCGUCCCAGACUGAACUGUCUCAGGGAAAGGCCACUUUGGUGUGCAUGGCGCAGGGCUUCUUCCCAGACACGGCCGCCGUGUCGUGGACCGAAGGCGGCAGCAGUCGGACGGGCAGCGAGGUGCAAACCGCCGUGCCGGAGCGGCGAUCCGAUGGCACAUACUCGCUCAUCAGCCUACUGACCGUGACGGCGGCGCAGUGGAGCUCCGGGGUCUCCUACUCCUGCCAGAUCAGACACUCCGCCCUGACCUCGCCGCUCAGCCGCAGUGUGAGCCAGGCGGAGUGCCAGUAACUGCAGCUCACCACCAGGCGAAGGCAGCACAUCAAAAUAAGCGAUAUUUGAUGUUACGGCGCUUCCCAGUAUUGUACUCGGCUUAAAGAAGCAUGUGUGUGCUGAUCGGUAAAUGUGUUUGUAAAAUGUUACAGUCCGAGAUGAUCGGAAAUAAAACGUUUUCAAGUUAUUGCAAAUGCUUAGAUAAAUAAAGCUCAAUAAAGACAAAAUACAAAUGC